RNAcentral lists this ribosomal RNA (984 nucleotides) under Triticum aestivum (bread wheat). RNAcentral's name for it is "partial small subunit ribosomal RNA". Lineage: Eukaryota; Viridiplantae; Streptophyta; Magnoliopsida; Poales; Poaceae. The record is from RNAcentral.
AUGGCGCCAGCACCACAGCAAGAAGCUUCUCCGAAGCUCAGGGUACUGGAGAGCGCCGUCGUAGCGCCCUGGCCGAUCCCUCCGGUGCCGGAGACCUCCCUCCCGCUCACCUUCUUCGAUGUCUUUUGGCUCAACUUCCCGCCGGUGGAGCGCGUCUUUUUCUACCACCUCGUCCCCGGCCCCGGCGCCGCCACCAUCCUCUCCAACCUCAAGACCUCACUCUCCCAAGCCCUCCGCGCCUUCUACCCGCUCGCCGGCCGCCUGCGCCUCAGGCCCGGCACCACCGACCGCCACGAGCUCCACUACCAGCCCGGCGACGGCGUCACCUUCACCGUCGCCAUGUACGACCUCGACGUCGACGAGCUGGCCCUGGACGGGCCGAGGGAGGUCGCCAAGAUCGCACAGCUCGUGCCGCCUCUCCCGGACGGCGGCGCGGUGCUCGCCCUGCAAGCCACCGUGCUGCGCGGCGGCCGCGGCCUCUCCGUCGGCAUGGCCCUGCAUCACGCCGCCUGCGACGGGGCGUGCUCCACGCGUUUCCUCCACACCGGGGCGGCGGCCAGCUCCGGCGCCGUCGCGCCGGCGCCCCCAGUCAUCGACAGAACUCUCGUCAAGGACCCAAGCGGUCUUUGCGACGCCUUCAUUAGAGCCAUGGCGAGCACCGAGAAGAAGAAUGACGUCAAGAUGGCCGGCGAUAAGCUCCUUCACCACCUUCACUCUGUCCAUGGAAAACAUACAGCGCAUCAAGGACGUCGUGCGGCUCGCCGCGGCUGGGAAGGGGGGGCGCGCCGCCGCGAUGCUCCUCACUGGUUGCCACCUUCGGCUUCAUCUGGUCAUGCCACCAGCGCGCUAAACACGACGACGCAGCAAGUAACGGCGGCGGCGGCGGCUCGACCUACUUCAUCUUCCCCGUCGACCACCGCUCGCGGAUGGAGCCUGAUCCCAUUCCAGACGAGUACCUCGGCAACUGCGUCGGCGCCGCCCUGA